Molecule: microRNA precursor, 78 nt
Filed under: Schistosoma curassoni
Lineage: Eukaryota; Metazoa; Platyhelminthes; Trematoda; Strigeidida; Schistosomatidae
Description: mir-3492 microRNA precursor family
Rfam family: mir-3492 microRNA precursor family
Source: Rfam by way of RNAcentral
AGCCUAUUGUACCCGUGCUGAGAUUUCGUCACACACCAGACCACAAGGGCUCAUGAGACUUCUAAGACAUGUGAAGCG